This 251-nucleotide ribosomal RNA is filed under the name uncultured bacterium. RNAcentral's name for it is "partial 16S ribosomal RNA". It matches the Rfam family "Bacterial small subunit ribosomal RNA", at positions 524 to 774 of the family's 1533-position model. The record is from RNAcentral.
UACGUAGGGGGCGAGCGUUGUCCGGAUUUAUUGGGCGUAAAGAGCUCGUAGGCGGUUCGAUAAGUCGGACGUGAAAUCUCCACGCUCAACGUGGAGGGCCGUUCGAUACUGUCGUGACUCGAGUCCGGUAGGGGAGUGUGGAAUUCCCGGUGUAGCGGUGAAAUGCGCAGAGAUCGGGAGGAACACCCGUAGCGAAGGCGGCACUCUGGGCCGGUACUGACGCUGAGGAGCGAAAGCGUGGGGAGCAAGCA